Molecule: transfer RNA, 85 nt
Filed under: Felis catus (domestic cat)
Lineage: Eukaryota; Metazoa; Chordata; Mammalia; Carnivora; Felidae
Rfam family: tRNA
About the family: Transfer RNA (tRNA) molecules are approximately 80 nucleotides in length. Their secondary structure includes four short double-helical elements and three loops (D, anti-codon, and T loops). Further hydrogen bonds mediate the characteristic L-shaped molecular structure. tRNAs have two regions of fundamental functional importance: the anti-codon, which is responsible for specific mRNA codon recognition, and the 3' end, to which the tRNAs corresponding amino acid is attached (by aminoacyl-tRNA synthetases). tRNAs cope with the degeneracy of the genetic code in two manners: having more than one tRNA (with a specific anti-codon) for a particular amino acid; and 'wobble' base-pairing, i.e. permitting non-standard base-pairing at the 3rd anti-codon position.
Source: Rfam by way of RNAcentral
GCCUGGGUGGCUUAGUCGGUUAAGCGUCCGACUUCGACUCAGGUCAUGAUCUCGCGGUUUGUGGGUUCAAGUCCCGCAUCUGGCU